CCCGCACGCAGCGCCUUACCCUCGAAGCGUUUUUUUCUUUUUCUCCUCGCCUCUAACCUCCCCUGCCCACAGACGCGCCGCGCCUGGCAGACACUCCGCGCAAAGGAGGCAACUCGCGGAUCUAGCUAUCCCUCACCGGCCGCCGCCCCUUCCCCAAGCACCACCCGCUGGAUCGGCGAAAACCUAAUGCGCCGCCGCCGCCACCAGACUCCUCACAACGCGCCGCCCCCGCCCGCGCGGUCUCAGGCCCGAUCCCACCGAUGGCAGGGACGAAGGCCUACCUUCCCCGCGCGGAUGCGAACCAGGAAGGCCGCAUCAGCGGCCAGGACCCCAGGAGGCCGUCGCCUUCUUCCAGAGCGUCAGCUUGCCGCGCCCGCAGCAGGUCCUCGCCCAGGUGAGCCUAAACCCUCCCUGGGCGGAGGUGAGACGGCCUGGUUCCGGCGCCGGCACGCGUCGUGGCGGUGGCGACGGGAGACAGCUGCGGCAUCGGCCGGGAGAUCGCCCGCGAACUCGCUCUCCAUGGCCUCCACGUCGUCCUCGCCUCCAGCGACGCCGAGUGCGGAUGGGACGCCGCAGAGAAGCUCCGGGAGCCGGCGGCGGGGGACAUCGGGCAGAUGGUAGCUGGUCAGGUCUUCAUCUGACGCGGCACAUUUUGGUGGCGUAUUUGUAACAGCUCGAGAUGCCAAAAGCUGGAUCACCUGCUUUCUUGAUCUGCAUCAUGAUUCUAAGCCUCGAUGCCGUUGGCAUCUUCUUCGUGCAGCUGCCGGCCCAGCUCCAUGUCCGUUUCAUCACGUGUGAACGUAUGCUCUUACAAGCCCUGGCGCAUCACUGAGGAGAUUACAAGCAGAUUUAUGAAGAGGUAAGGAAAUCUAUAUAUCAAACGGUAUUGUUGGAAGUUGCAUAUGGAAGAUCUUUAGAACUGGAAAUGGCAUGCUAGCAGAAUUGAUGUUCUGAAGAGCUAACUGGUGCGGUGAACCUUGCAAAUUAUUGAUGGAAAUGAGCUCCUGAAUUCAAGGAUGGACACCGAAAUCAUUACCUGAAGAAACUGGAAUCAUGUAGGCUCGCUGGCAGACUCGUAGGAAACAAACAAGGUAUGAUCCAGUUUGAACCUCAUGUUUGGAAAUGUGAAAUUACAGUGUCUUCUCCAUCUAACCAACCACCUGAAGAAGCAGCGGGGCUGCCACCCUUCAGUUUCUCGUCGCUUCUUUUUGUUGCAGGAUGUUUUUCCCUUGUGUAUUUGCACCUUUACACAAAUUAAAGAUUCUUUAUUCACUGCUUCACUCUUUAUUUAGCAAGACUGUUUUUUUCAUUUUCUUUAUGUAAGGACCAUGUAAAAUAUUUACUCUGAAUAACACCACAAUGUUCGUUCUCAAAUUCCUUUACAAGAUAUAAGGCACAUAUUUAUGCGUGCAGUCAACGCUUUCAAACUUUGACCAAUUUUAUAUGACAAAGUAUAUGAAUUGAGCAUGUAA
Molecule: long non-coding RNA, 1472 nt
Organism: Brachypodium distachyon (stiff brome)
Lineage: Eukaryota; Viridiplantae; Streptophyta; Magnoliopsida; Poales; Poaceae
Exons: 5
Source: RefSeq, a predicted model, not a curated record